UAUAUCAUAUAAUAUCCAAUUAUUGAAUUAAUGACAGGUGGUCACACUGGUAUUAAUCUCAGAAAAGAAUAGUCACUCGUGUGUGUAUCAUCAAUGGAAGAAUAGCAAAAAAGAACUUCUGUGCUAGGAAUACAGUGCAAGUGCAAUGAAAUGAUGUAUACGAGUAAAGUGUGAAAAUUUUGCUGGAGUAGAAAAAGAAAAAUCGAAAAUAGUGAAAAGGAAAAGCAAAUAUUCUCAAUCGAAGAAGCAAUAACGAAAGUAGAAGAAAUAAAAAGACAGUCAAAAAGAAACGCGAAGAAUUUCGUCAUUGGUAGCAAAGAAAUUUUUUUUUCAGUUGAAAAAAUUAAACAAUUUGACUAAUAUAUUAAAUAAUUAGUUAAUAUACAAGUAACAAAGUAAUAUUAAACAGUUAACAUAAUGGAUAAAAACGUAUUAAUAAUGGUGCUUUAAUGGAAACAACAAAUAUCGGAAUGUCUCUUGUUACUUUACUUCACCUUGCCUGUCCGGAGCACCUUGCGUAUGUGCUUUGCACGUUUGUGGCAAUUUUCAAUUCUAUUUACAUAUAUUAUUAUUUAGAACAUAAGAAUUGAAACUAAUUGAUUUGUUAAAAACAUUUUUACUUAUAAUUGGUAUUGUCAGUAGAAAUUGUACACAAUUUACACAAAAAACACAAUAUAUUGAAAGUCAUGAAUUAAAAGAAUUGUGACAGAAUGCCUUAAAACCACUGCAGUCGCUAGUGUUCCCUGCACUUUCUUUAUAAAUAUUAAUAAUAGUAAAUCGGUUGUUGUAAGUGUGCAGGCGGCAGCUAUCGACAGAUUACAAUUUUUCUUUUUUUGUGCCAAUUUUUUUUUAUUGGACUCAUGUUCUUUUUUUAACACUAUUCUUUUUUUAUUAAGCCUUAAAGAAUUUUAUCUUUGCAUCACGUUAUCAGCGUAUUCGUCGCCUUAGUUGUACGCUUGUCCAUUUGCCAUCACCCGUCAUCAAAUCAUCAAAUAACGUCAUCGUAAGGAGCCUAAUUAAUAAGUGCCGCCGUCCGGUUAUUGCCCGUUUUAUCGAGUGUGUUUACUUUUUUUUUUAGUUAACCAUUGC
Molecule: long non-coding RNA, 1089 nt
Organism: Teleopsis dalmanni
Lineage: Eukaryota; Metazoa; Arthropoda; Insecta; Diptera; Diopsidae
Exons: 3
Source: RefSeq, a predicted model, not a curated record